GACGAACGCUGGCGGCGCGCUUAACACAUGCAAGUCGAACGGUGAAGGGGCCUGCUUUUGUGGGUCCUGGAUGAGUGGCGAACGGGUGAGUAACACGUGAGUAACCUGCCCCCUUCUUCUGGAUAACCGCAUGAAAGUGUGGCUAAUACGGGAUAUUCUGGGUCUGUCGCAUGGUGGGCCUGGGAAAGAUUGCGCUUUUUUGGUGUUUUUGGUGGGGGAUGGGCUCGCGGCCUAUCAGCUUGUUGGUGGGGUGAUGGCCUACCAAGGCGGUGACGGGUAGCCGGCCUGAGAGGGUGGACGGUCACACUGGGACUGAGACACGGCCCAGACUCCUACGGGAGGCAGCAGUGGGGAAUAUUGCACAAUGGGCGCAAGCCUGAUGCAGCGACGCCGCGUAAGGGAUGGAGGCCUUCGGGUUGUGAACCCUCUUUCGCCAGUGAAAGCAGGCCCUC
Molecule: ribosomal RNA, 452 nt
Filed under: Actinomyces naeslundii
Lineage: Bacteria; Bacillati; Actinomycetota; Actinomycetes; Actinomycetales; Actinomycetaceae
Description: bacterial SSU rRNA
Rfam family: Bacterial small subunit ribosomal RNA
Source: RNAcentral